RNAcentral lists this ribosomal RNA (301 nucleotides) under uncultured bacterium. Its description in RNAcentral is "partial 16S ribosomal RNA". It matches the Rfam family "Bacterial small subunit ribosomal RNA", at positions 509 to 807 of the family's 1533-position model. The record is from RNAcentral.
CAGCAGCCACGGUAAUACGUAGGGCGCAAGCGUUAAUCGGAAUUACUGGGCGUAAAGCGUGCGCAGGCGGUUAUAUAAGUCAGAUGUGAAAUCCCCGGGCUCAACCUGGGAACUGCAUUUGAGACUGUAUGGCUAGAGUGUGUCAGAGGGGGGUAGAAUUCCACGUGUAGCAGUGAAAUGCGUAGAUAUGUGGAGGAAUACCGAUGGCGAAGGCAGCCCCCUGGGAUAACACUGACGCUCAUGCACGAAAGCGUGGGGAGCAAACAGGAUUAGAUACCCGUGUAGUCCCUGUCUCUUAUAC